This 79-nucleotide small nucleolar RNA is filed under the name Arabidopsis thaliana (thale cress). Its description in RNAcentral is "small nucleolar RNA U34d". Lineage: Eukaryota; Viridiplantae; Streptophyta; Magnoliopsida; Brassicales; Brassicaceae. The record is from RNAcentral.
GAGCCAAUGAUGAUUGAAAAAGACUGCCCACAUUGUUUGAUUCACCACUGAUAUGAAUUCUAUAAAGAGCUUUGUAAGA